UGCAUGAUGACGAAACAAUUUCUUCACUUUGACCUGACGUUUUUGUUUGAAGAAAUUUUGCAAUAUCUGACA
This 72-nucleotide small nucleolar RNA is filed under the name Laticauda laticaudata (blue-ringed sea krait). RNAcentral describes it as "Small nucleolar RNA SNORD37 (ENSLLTG00000003502.1)". It matches the Rfam family "Small nucleolar RNA SNORD37". Rfam says of the family: U37 is a member of the C/D class of snoRNA which contain the C (UGAUGA) and D (CUGA) box motifs. Most of the members of the box C/D family function in directing site-specific 2'-O-methylation of substrate RNAs. The record is from Rfam by way of RNAcentral. Lineage: Eukaryota; Metazoa; Chordata; Lepidosauria; Squamata; Elapidae.